CGGCGGCGGGAGCGGCGGUGGCGGGAGACCCGGCCCCGCGAUAAAAAGAGAAGAGGCCGGAGGUGCGCGCUGCGGGUCCGCGCGGUGGCACCGGCAGAAACGUGCCUGGGAAGGAGGGAGCCAGAGCAGGAGAGGGAGGCUGUGCCGAGCGACGAGCCGCCUCCCUCCGUCCCUUCCUCCCUCCCUCCCUUUCCUACUCCCGCCCGCCCUCCCGCAGGAAUCCCAGGCUGGCGGCGCGGCACGGCAGCACCCGGGACGCGCGGCUCCCCUUGGCUGCGCGGCGGCUGGAGGGAAGGAGGGAGGGAGGGAGCCGUGCUGGUGAGGAGGAGCCGCCGCCUCAUUCUGCGGCACCGGCCGGCGGCGUGAGGAGCGCGGCGAGCGCAGGUGGCAGUGUAGAAGCCAAGAACAAAAUUUGGCAGAAAUUAUUGUGUGUGCAAGAAAAUGAAGAGUGUACUCAUGACUAAGCACAGGAACCUGGAAAACCACAGGAUUGCUGGGAGGCCAUGGAGGACGGGAUGAACUCAGAGCUGGAGCUUGAGGAUUUUUUUGGAAGUGAUGAGUGGGAAGUUAUACUGGCUUCAGUCAGGUGAUCGCUGAUGACUAGUCAGUCCACCGAGAAGGGACUUCAGCACACAGGGAGCAAGAGUGGCCUUUGGCAGCACUGUGGUGUGCUGAAACUUCAACUGGAUCAGGCCCUCUCGCCUGUGGCAUCAACUGGAUGGCCCCUGUGACCAAUACCAGUGAUGAGCGUCAUAAAAGGAAUCAGGCAAUUUACCUAUUGCAUUUGGACCAAGACAAAGGUGAGAAAGUCAGAAGGGAAAAAUAGGUAAACUUCCCUGCUGGGAGAGGAAUGUUGCUAAAUGUUGUACGAAACAGGCUCUGCUGGAACAAUGAACUAAAACAAGUCUCCUGAUGAAACAGUCAACAGAGAGAAACAUAGGAGAAUAGGUGGGUGCUUUUGUCUGUGAGGGUGCAUGGAGUAGGAUGAACAGUUUCACCCCUUUCAAUAUUCCUUGUUCUCUCCCUUCCUGCUCUAAUUGAAUUUCUGUGUUAAAUUGAAGUACCCUUCUCCCAGAAAGCACGACAGACAGAAUCCAGCUGAACUUCAGUCGUGUUUGCAUAGCCAAGCUCUGAAAUUAGAACAUCACUGCCAGCAAUUCAGUGAUGCACCUUUCUGUGUUCCUUUUCUGCAGUAGGACAAAAAUGUCAGCUUCUGACUCUGAUCCCCCUAAUAAAAGCUAAGAUACUAAUCACCACAAAAUACACAACCAAAAAAGUCUUUCUUAGCAAUGAGGUCUAC
Long non-coding RNA from Neopsephotus bourkii (Bourke's parrot), 1300 nucleotides. RefSeq lists it as uncharacterized. The transcript is spliced from 5 exons. NCBI's taxonomy places the organism in Eukaryota, Metazoa, Chordata, Aves, Psittaciformes, Psittacidae. The record is from RefSeq and is a predicted model, not a curated record.